UACGUAGGGGGGCAAGCGUUGUCCGGAUUUAUUGGGCGUAAAGAGCGUGUAGGCGGUUAUGCAGGUCCGCUGUGAAAACUGGAGGCUUAACCUCCAGACGUCGGUGGAAACCGUAUGACUAGAGUCCGGAAGAGGAGAGUGGAAUUCCUGGUGUAGCGGUGAAAUGCGCAGAUAUCAGGAAGAACACCCGUGGCGAAGGCGGCUCUCUGGGACGGUACUGACGCUGAGACGCGAAAGCGUGGGGAGCGAACAGG
This 254-nucleotide ribosomal RNA is filed under the name uncultured bacterium. RNAcentral's name for it is "partial 16S ribosomal RNA". It matches the Rfam family "Bacterial small subunit ribosomal RNA", at positions 524 to 776 of the family's 1533-position model. The record is from RNAcentral.